This 253-nucleotide ribosomal RNA is filed under the name uncultured bacterium. Its description in RNAcentral is "partial 16S ribosomal RNA". It matches the Rfam family "Archaeal small subunit ribosomal RNA", at positions 474 to 727 of the family's 1478-position model. The record is from RNAcentral.
UACCAGCACCCCGAGUGGUCGGGACGAUUAUUGGGCCUAAAGCAUCCGUAGCCGGCUCUACAAGUCUUCCGUUAAAUCCACCUGCUCAACAGAUGGGCUGCGGAGGAUACUAUAGAGCUAGGAGGCGGGAGAGGCAAGCGGUACUUAGUGGGUAGGGGUAAAAUCCGUUGAUCCAUUGAAGACCACCAGUGGCGAAGGCGGCUUGCCAGAACGCACUCGACGGUGAGGGAUGAAAGCUGGGGGAGCAAACCGG